UAUAGUUCGAGUCUAUUUUAAUCUCUGUAG
This 30-nucleotide non-coding RNA is filed under the name Mus musculus (house mouse). Lineage: Eukaryota; Metazoa; Chordata; Mammalia; Rodentia; Muridae. The record is from RNAcentral.